This is a long non-coding RNA of Acanthochromis polyacanthus (spiny chromis), 2173 nucleotides long. RefSeq lists it as uncharacterized. Lineage: Eukaryota; Metazoa; Chordata; Actinopteri; Pomacentridae. The transcript has 2 exons. The record is from RefSeq and is a predicted model, not a curated record.
CGAGGAGCUUGCUUCUCGGGCCGUGGUGUAGCCUCCCAAAUACCUUGGUUAAGAGAACAUCUGCCUGACCACAUCCUAGAGUUCAUGAACACGCCUUUACGUUACUGGAAACCACCUACUCCUGCACCCAACUCACUCCUCUCACCAACUGUCAGUCCAUUUUCGAAAUCCACUCACCCUCCUAAUACAGUCCGGACUGGAUUUUUUUAGUUUACAGUCUGUCACUCCUCACGUUUCCUCACCCCCAGCUUCAGCCUACACCCCACCGAGGUCAUCCGGGAAUCCGCCUAAAGGAAAGCGAGGAGUCUGGAGGUCGCGUCCCAGCGCCCAGACCUCGCCACCGUCCGUUGCGGUGGUUCCACCUCCAAGCGUCUUUUCCUCAGACAUCUGAGUGGGACGAUGACGCCGUCUUGGAGCGGGACGAUGACGCCGCCUCUGACAUCUUGGAGCGGGUCGACGCCGCCACCACAGCCUUCGCCUCUGAGCAGGUCGAUGCUGUCGACCCCGCCUUCGACUCCGCAGCAGCAGCUCCUGAGCGGGUCGAGGACGACGACUCCGAGUGGGUCGACACUACCUCUGACGCCGCCGCAGCUCCAGCGCGGGUUGAGGACGACGCCGCCUGUCUAGACGGCCUACAGACUGUCUACUCCGCAGCCGGUCCUCAGAGUGUCUCUUCGGCCGCCUCUCCAGCCGGGCCUUCAGCCUGUCUCAGCCGGGCCUUCAGCCUGUCUCCGCCGGUGCAGCCGGGCCUUCAGCCUGUCUCCGCCGGUGCCCCUCCAGACGGCCCUCCGAGUGUCUACGCCGCCGCCGGCCUUCCUCCAGUGGAAUCCUCUGGAUGCUGAUGCAGCUCCUGCCUGUUUUUUUUCCCCCUGUCUCCCUCUCUCGCUCCCAGCUGAUCGCCUGCUGCAGGACAGCUAAUUGUUUGAUGAGACUCAGCUGUGGAGCAAUCAGCAAACACUGUUCACCUGCCUUCCCUUUCUGUUUAAAUAUCCUCUGCUCCCCUCUUUGUGUGUGGGAGCAUCACAGUACAGACCGUCGCAUACACGGUUACCCCUUUCGCCUUCUGGUUUUCCCCCUACUCUGGAUUUUAGAAGAUCUUCCCCUUUUGGACCCUACUGCCUUUUGGACUACCUUGGUUUUUCUUUUAUGGACUCACCCCUUUUUUGGACUUUGACACUUUUGGACUUGUCUAAGCUGGUUCCUCCCUGAGAAGGAUUGCUCUGUUUUGUGAGGGAAGAUGUCCACGAGGCUGUCUUUGGCCACAGUGUCCACGAUGCCUUGGCUGUAGCGCAGCAUGGCCUCAAACUCUGGGUCGCCGCGGCAGUAGGAGGAGUUGAAGCAGAGCGAACAGAUGACGUUGGUGACGGCCCGAGUUAGCUCAGGGGACAGAUCCAGGGCCAGUCCCACAGCUGCUGCCUCGGACAGGACGGAGCACAGAGACUGGGCCUCUGCACAGACUGAGCAGGACACGGGCAACAGAGCAUCUUCACUUACCGACAUGUUCAUAGUAUUUACUUCACUUAUUUGUACAAUAUAUUAUGUAUGUUUUAAAGACGGGUGUCCAAAAGGUCUGGACACAAGAAAGUACAGAUUUAAUAUGAUUUUGUCCAAAGUAGAAAGAGUUGAACUUGCACUUUACAGGGGAUGUGAAGGAUGGAUGUAUGGAAAGAUAGCAGAUGAAUUUAAUCUUUCGACAAAGCCAUAUUUAAUUUGUGCAGGAAAAAAAAGUUAAUAUUUCCUAUGCGUCCAGACUUUAGGGACACCCUGUACAAUAUGUUAUCUUAUAUUAGCAAGCCUCAAUGUUGCAUUAAGUGGCACAAACACACACACACAUAUGUAUGUAUACAUAUAUAUGUAUGUGUGUGUGUGUGUAUGUAUACAUACACAUAAAUAGACUUAUUAUAGCCCCAAUUACCAGCUAACGCAUUGCUCAGAAUAGUCCAAGAUAAAUGCUAUUUCCUCCUGUCUGACAGUCUAGUCACUGAACAGCUACUGAGCUGGACACAGAACAUUACUAUAAAUUAUUCUGAAAGGUUUUCAUCUUCCAAAGGAAUCUGUGGGUUUGGAGCUGAGGCAGAGGAUGGAAGUCAGAAUACAGUGAUGGACACUAACAUCCUGUUAAUGUUGGUCUUUUCUUUGGCAUCACUUUAAGUAAUAAAGAUAUCUAAUAUUG